RNAcentral lists this small RNA (119 nucleotides) under Marmota monax (woodchuck). The record is from RNAcentral. Lineage: Eukaryota; Metazoa; Chordata; Mammalia; Rodentia; Sciuridae.
GCUGGGCGUGGUGGCGCAUGCCUAUAAUCCCAGCGGCUCAGGAGGCUAAGGCAGGAGGAUCAUGAGUUCAAAACCAACCUCAGCAAGGCGCAGAGCAACUCAGUGAGAUCCUGCGUCUA